CCUUAUUACAUGGCAAGUCCGAACGAACUCUGGUAUUGAUUGGUGCUUGCAUCAUGAUUUACAUUUGAGUGAGUGGCGAACUGGUGAGUAACACGUGGGAAACCUGCCCAGAAGCGGGGGAUAACACCUGGAAACAGAUGCUAAUACCGCAUAACAACUUGGACCGCAUGGUCCGAGUUUGAAAGAUGGCUUCGGCUAUCACUUUUGGAUGGUCCCGCGGCGUAUUAGCUAGAUGGUGGGGUAACGGCUCACCAUGGCAAUGAUACGUAGCCGACCUGAGAGGGUAAUCGGCCACAUUGGGACUGAGACACGGCCCAAACUCCUACGGGAGGCAGCAGUAGGGAAUCUUCCACAAUGGACGAAAGUCUGAUGGAGCAACGCCGCGUGAGUGAAGAAGGGUUUCGGCUCGUAAAACUCUGUUGUUAAAGAAGAACAUAUCUGAGAGUAACUGUUCAGGUAUUGACGGUAUUUAACCAGAAAGCCACGGCUAACUACGUGCCAGCAGCCGCGGUAAUACGUAGGUGGCAAGCGUUGUCCGGAUUUAUUGGGCGUAAAGCGAGCGCAGGCGGUUUUUUAAGUCUGAUGUGAAAGCCUUCGGCUCAACCGAAGAAGUGCAUCGGAAACUGGGAAACUUGAGUGCAGAAGAGGACAGUGGAACUCCAUGUGUAGCGGUGAAAUGCGUAGAUAUAUGGAAGAACACCAGUGGCGAAGGCGGCUGUCUGGUCUGUAACUGACGCUGAGGCUCGAAAGUAUGGGUAGCAAACAGGAUUAGAUACCCUGGUAGUCCAUACCGUAAACGAUGAAUGCUAAGUGUUGGAGGGUUUCCGCCCUUCAGUGCUGCAGCUAACGCAUUAAGCAUUCCGCCUGGGGAGUACGGCCGCAAGGCUGAAACUCAAAGGAAUUGACGGGGGCCCGCACAAGCGGUGGAGCAUGUGGUUUAAUUCGAAGCUACGCGAAGAACCUUACCAGGUCUUGACAUACUAUGCAAAUCUAAGAGAUUAGACGUUCCCUUCGGGGACAUGGAUACAGGUGGUGCAUGGUUGUCGUCAGCUCGUGUCGUGAGAUGUUGGGUUAAGUCCCGCAACGAGCGCAACCCUUAUUAUCAGUUGCCAGCAUUAAGUUGGGCACUCUGGUGAGACUGCCGGUGACAAACCGGAGGAAGGUGGGGAUGACGUCAAAUCAUCAUGCCCCUUAUGACCUGGGCUACACACGUGCUACAAUGGAUGGUACAACGAGUUGCGAACUCGCGAGAGUAAGCUAAUCUCUUAAAGCCAUUCUCAGUUCGGAUUGUAGGCUGCAACUCGCCUACAUGAAGUCGGAAUCGCUAGUAAUCGCGGAUCAGCAUGCCGCGGUGAAUACGUUCCCGGGCCUUGUACACACCGCCCGUCACACCAUGAGAGUUUGUAACACCCAAAGUCGGUGGGGUAACCUUUUAGGAACCAGCCCGCCCUAAAGGGA
Molecule: ribosomal RNA, 1458 nt
Filed under: Lactiplantibacillus plantarum
Lineage: Bacteria; Bacillati; Bacillota; Bacilli; Lactobacillales; Lactobacillaceae
Description: bacterial SSU rRNA
Rfam family: Bacterial small subunit ribosomal RNA
Source: RNAcentral